Leptidea sinapis is the source of this 204-nucleotide small nucleolar RNA. RefSeq annotates it as small nucleolar RNA U3. The transcript has a single exon. NCBI's taxonomy places the organism in Eukaryota, Metazoa, Arthropoda, Insecta, Lepidoptera, Pieridae. The record is from RefSeq and is a predicted model, not a curated record.
AAGACCUUACUUCAUAGGAUCAUUUCUAUAGUAAGCUCUUCACGAGAACCUUCACACUAUGUGAGGAGUAGACGGUCACGAUGAAGAAGCGUGGCGCGGCACCCUGAGCGUGAGACAGGCGAGGACCCUCGGUCCUCAGCCCUCGAUGAUCGUUCAGUCUUCUGCUUGCAGGAGAGCGUAGGGUGCUGUCGCUGUCUGAGUGGC